AUGGACAUCGCCGGCGAGCUCCCUCCUCCACGUGGCUCUGAUGCCAAUUGUUGGAACCGCCAGUCCCUCGCCGCACUCCUCCUCGCCCUCUCUGUCGUCGUCGCUCGAGCUCACCAGAGAAAAGAGGAAGAAGUUCAGAGAGAUUCAGAGAAGCAGUGGACACAGGUGUUUUUCCGGCGCACGAACGCCCCCUUUUCUUCGCGAGCACGAACUCGACUGUGUCAAUUUGUUACAAUGCCAUCAGGUGGCUUUAUACCCCGAGCCGGCGCACGGGGCACGCACCCACGCCUCCACUCACCCCUGAUCUUCCCCGCGCUCUCUGCGCACUGA
RNAcentral lists this ribosomal RNA (330 nucleotides) under Triticum aestivum (bread wheat). Its description in RNAcentral is "partial small subunit ribosomal RNA". The record is from RNAcentral. Lineage: Eukaryota; Viridiplantae; Streptophyta; Magnoliopsida; Poales; Poaceae.